UACGUAGGGGCCUAGCGUUGUUCGGAUUUACUGGGCGUAAAGGGCGCGUAGGCGGCGUGGUAAGUCACUUGUGAAAUCUCUGAGCUUAACUCAGAACGGCCAAGUGAUACUGCUGUGCUAGAGUGCGGAAGGGGCAAUCAGAAUUCUUGGUGUAGCGGUGAAAUGCGUAGAUAUCAAGAGGAAUACCUGAGGUGAAGACGGGUUGCUAGGCCGACACUGACGCUGAGGCGCGAAAGCCAGGGGAGCAAACGGG
RNAcentral lists this ribosomal RNA (253 nucleotides) under uncultured bacterium. RNAcentral's name for it is "partial 16S ribosomal RNA". It matches the Rfam family "Bacterial small subunit ribosomal RNA", at positions 524 to 776 of the family's 1533-position model. The record is from RNAcentral.